UAGAUAAGUUGGAAGUGAAAUCCUAUGGCUUAACCAUAGAACUGCUUCCAAAACUGUCUAUCUAGAAUAUGGGAGAGGUAGAUGGAAUUUCUGGUGUAGGGGUAAAAUCCGUAGAGAUCAGAAGGAAUACCGAUUGCGAAGGCGAUCUACUGGAACAUUAUUGACGCUCAGAUGCGAAAGCGUGGGGAGCAAACAGGAUUAGAUACCCUGGUAGUCCACGCCCUAAACGAUGCACACUAGUUGUUGCCUUGCUAGACAAGGCAGUAAUGCAGUUAACACAGUAAGUGUGCCGCCUGGGGAGUACGGUCGCAAGAUUAAAACUCAAAGGAAUAGACGGGGACCCGCACAAGCGGUGGAGCAUGUGGUUUAAUUCGACGAUACGCGAAGAACCUUACCUGGCCUUGACAUAGAGAGAACUUACUAGAGAUAGUUUGGUGCUAGCUUGCUAGAACUUUCAUACAGGUGCUGCACGGCUGUCGUCAGCUCGUGUCGUGAGAUGUUGGGUUAAGUCCCGCAACGAGCGCAACCCUCGUGUUUAGUUAAUAACGGUUCGGCCGAUGACUCUAAACAGACUGCCUGGGCAACCAGGAGGAAGGUGAGGACGACGUCAAGUCAUCAUGGCCCUUACGGCCAGGGCUACACACGUGCUACAAUGGGGUAUACAAAGAGCCGCAAUAC
Molecule: ribosomal RNA, 678 nt
Filed under: uncultured bacterium
Lineage: Bacteria
Description: bacterial SSU rRNA
Rfam family: Bacterial small subunit ribosomal RNA
Source: RNAcentral